CUUCCAGUCGUCCGAACAGCUGAGCGGCUGUUUCAGGGGUUUUCUCUUUUGCCCAAACGCCACCUAAUAAAGUUCUGAAAGGCUGAAGAAAAAAGACCUUUCAGACUUCUAGGCCUUCAACGAGGUGCCCUGAAGAGAGCGCAGGAUGGCGCCCAGGGGUGGCGAAGGGGGCUCCUCCUGGGUCCCACUUGGCACGGGGCAGUCCGCAUCCCUGUCCAGCCGCUGAUGUCGCCGGGUCGAAGCAGCUGGAGUCCACGGUCGCGAGGCCACCGGCCUCUCGGCGUUUCUCCAGCCUGUCAGCUUCCGGCCAGCCCACGCCAGCAUCUGUCGUCAGGCAGAGAAGCCACAAAGGUGCUUGCUGCCAAGGACCAAGACAACGCAGAAGCCGAAGGGGAAGACGACCUGCAGGUGCCGGAGGUCCACGGCCGGGGCCUUGUGGUGACCGCGGGAGCCUGGCUCCUCAGCCGCGUGGGCGUCAAGAUCCGGGUCCUCCUGCCGGCGGCCGUUCGCUUCCGGCGGCCGCUUUCCCGCCACCGCCGCCGCGGCCCCGGGCCUGGGCGAGCCUGACUCCUCCACCGCGGUGCGGGGGAUGGAAGGAGCCGGAGAGGAGGUGCAGACGGUUCGUGAAUGUGUUGUUUUCUGUGCGGCCAAGAGAACACAACAAGCAUUUUGUGCAGUGAUGACCGAAUUUCCCUGUGGCCAGCCUACUGUGUGGUUUACACGUGGGACGCCUACCACAGCAUGGCUGCCAAGCAGUGCCAUGUCCGCACCCGGGAUCCGAACCAGCGAACCCUGGGCCGCCAAGAAGCGGAACGUGCGAACUUAACCGCUGCGCCACCGGGCCGGCCCCACAGAGUAGUUAUUUAAAGGAAACACUGUAUGUUUGAAGAGCAGAAGGAAGAAGUGGGAAUUCGAAAUCUGAGAUGAACUUUCAGUUCGUUCUGUUUGGUAGAUGCUUCUAAUUUCUGCUGCAAGUAAAGAGCCAUUAAAUAAAUGUUAAAGGCAGUUGCUCCAUUCAUGGGAGGUGCAGUAAAGCUUUUAAAUAGAACAGAAAAUAAAGGGUGUCUUUGACUCUUCAUGGAGUCCUUAAUGGUUUCCUACUCUGGAUGAAAAACAAAAAACCUUCUUCUGUUCCUAGCAGCUGUUACCAUGUUUUCACAUACCUUAAUCCAAGGAGUUUUGAAUUUUGUUUCCUAGUUGACUAUUUUUUAAGACUUUGACUUGGGGAUUAAGAAUUACAAUUUAAAGUUGUGAGUUUUUUUGGAUGAGUUAGGCAGGGGGAGUAGGUUGAGCUGCUGGGAAGUGGGAUGGCUCCAGGAAUAGUUUAAUCCAGAAUUGUUGGUCACAGCGUCAGCAAACAAUACAUUUUAAAAGAUUUUAUGAGUUAAAAUCUGGCCUAAUUAUCCUUAAAAAUGAAGCUAAGAAUGAGCUAAGCAUUAAAAUUUAUGUACUGUGUAUAAAUUUCUUUUCCUUCUCACGUUACUGAGAAUAUGAUGCACAAAUGUGGUAUCACUAUUUGGUUUGCUUUGGACAUUUUAUUGUCUUGCUUUAUUUAAAAUUCCUUUUCUAGAGGAUGAACAUCACAAUUGAAUUAUCUGCCAAGCUCCUUUAAGUUAUCUUUGUAACUUAGCUAAAUAUACCUUUGUUAAAAACAAAACAUUUUCAAUAAAAUAUCUGUAACAUAAUUACACAAAAU
This 1696-nucleotide long non-coding RNA is filed under the name Equus asinus (donkey). Its description in RNAcentral is "lncRNA (ENSEASG00005024002.1)". Lineage: Eukaryota; Metazoa; Chordata; Mammalia; Perissodactyla; Equidae. The record is from RNAcentral.